AGCUACCUACGGGACGCAGCAGUGAGGAAUAUUGGUCAAUGGGCGGGAGCCUGAACCAGCCAAGCCGCGUGAGGGAAGAAGGUACAGCGUAUCGUAAACCUCUUUUGUCAGGGAACAAAGGCGGGGACUAGUCCCCGGAUGAGGGUACCUGAAGAAAAAGCAUCGGCUAACUCCGUGCCAGCAGCCGCGGUAAUACGGAGGAUGCGAGCGUUAUCCGGAUUUAUUGGGGUUAAAGGGUGCGCAGGCGGCCUGUUAAGUCAGCGGUAAAAGCCCGGGGGUCAACC
This 284-nucleotide ribosomal RNA is filed under the name uncultured bacterium. RNAcentral's name for it is "partial 16S ribosomal RNA". It matches the Rfam family "Bacterial small subunit ribosomal RNA", at positions 333 to 614 of the family's 1533-position model. The record is from RNAcentral.